This 1192-nucleotide long non-coding RNA is filed under the name Mus spicilegus (steppe mouse). RNAcentral describes it as "lncRNA (ENSMSIG00000004780.1)". Lineage: Eukaryota; Metazoa; Chordata; Mammalia; Rodentia; Muridae. The record is from RNAcentral.
UAGAGAAACCCUGUCUCGAAAAACCAAAAAAAAAAAAAAAGGCUAUUAGAAAUGCAUAUAAAUAAAUGCAGUCGAUGGAUGUUUAAGGCAUCUUAAGAGAGAUUCUAUUUUAUGGAUGCUCAAUUUCAUCCACGCCCCUCUCAGGACCAAAAGGGCUACUCUCCCAUCUCCUCGAUAACUAAUUUUAGAGUGUUCAAAUCUCAACUCUUGGGUCAUUAACUUCUUCAGUUAGGAAGAAAAUGUUAGUGUCCACUCAGGGAAUGCUGUUUCCUCGAGUUCCCUUGGCUCAGAAAGUCUCCCGGGCCCCGCGCAGGUGCCCUAUGGGGUCCUGAAGCAAGUGAGAUUCCCCCGCCCUGGGUCGUGCAAUUAGUCGGGGUAGUACCUAAACUCCGAAGUCCUGCAGUGCCUCGUCCAUCUUUUGGGUGAAAAAAAAAACUUAUUACACGGACCAGAGGGUGUUCCUGAUUCUUUGUCCGAAAUACUUGGUCCCGGCUCCUAUAGGGAACCCUGAGUCUUCUGCAGUUUUAACGUCAUAAGCAUUCCCAAGCUUCAACCACCGCUCCUCCACAGGACGGCGCUCCCCAACAACCAGAAGCAGCCACCGCGUUUCUGCCGCAGCUCGGUCGCGGCGCUUCCCACAGUGCCUCGGGGCGCGCGCGGGCUCCUGGGAGUUGUGGUCCGGCGACGCGCAGCGUUGCAGCGACUGCUACGGGCUCGGCGCCGGCUUUGUCUGUCUGCGGGCGCGCGCCGCUGCGGUGAGUGUUGCUGAGGCCGGGGCUGUGCGCCCGAGAGAGGGGGCUGUGUCUUGAGCCUGCUGCUCCGGCCAGGGCGCGUGAGCAGGCCAGGCUGGCCGUCCGGGCCAAAAUCGCCAACCGCAGACAAGGGUCCUUGUAACUUGAGGGGAGCUGAAAAGGAAGGCUGGAGCUAUUUCUUCUUAACACCAGUCAGGAAGGCUGGUGUGCUGACUUCUUGCCUGGAAAGUAGAGAACCCCAAUUUUGUAUCAAGACCAAAUGCAAACAGAGCGGCCCUUACCUGGGGACUAACAGUACAGUAGGCACUCCUACUUCUCUGCUAUCUGUUUCCCUCUGCCUCUUUGCUCCUAGAUUCAUUUCUGUGUGGUCAGUCCUGCUAUCUUCCCCACCCCCACCCCAGCCCACCCUGCCCAAACAUUUAUUUAUGAUUAUAUGUAAG